UUAGAGUUUUUGUUAUGGUUAAGUAACUCCUGCCAUCUAGCGUCAAUUCCAAUAACUGUUUGCAUGGUGGCAUGUGUCUAUUAAGGAGCAUAAUAAAAUCUCUAGAUUUUGAAUGCUAGAAAUAGUUAAUGGAAAAAGAGCACAUGCCAUCUUCUUUGUUUUUCAUCUCUAGCAGUUAGAGCCAAUUUUCCUGAUAGGUUCGCAGAAAUGAAACUUACCAAUCAGAGUGUAGUUUCUAAAAUUGCCUCCAAAUUUUCCAAAAUGUCUGACAUAGAUGUUGUGGUUAUCAAGUGUUGCGAAGAAAAAAGACAAUUAAACAGUAAAAGAAGGACAUGUCAUGAAAAUAAGUGGAAGAAUAAUGAAAGAAAAUGUCUGAGAAAUAGUGGACAGCAAUAUGAAAACAGAAUUAAGAAGAUUGUGCCAGCAAAGGAGACAUUAAUGAGGACUUAUACAAUAUGUAAAAUGUUAUAUAUGGGAUUAUUCUUUC
RNAcentral lists this long non-coding RNA (487 nucleotides) under Androctonus crassicauda. Lineage: Eukaryota; Metazoa; Arthropoda; Arachnida; Scorpiones; Buthidae. The record is from RNAcentral.